RNAcentral lists this unclassified non-coding RNA (304 nucleotides) under uncultured Thielavia. RNAcentral describes it as "sequence contains ITS1". The stretch from base 1 to 105 matches the Rfam family "5.8S ribosomal RNA", at positions 50 to 154 of the family's 154-position model. The record is from RNAcentral. Lineage: Eukaryota; Fungi; Ascomycota; Sordariomycetes; Sordariales; Chaetomiaceae.
GAAAUGCGAUAAGUAAUGUGAAUUGCAGAAUUCAGUGAAUCAUCGAAUCUUUGAACGCACAUUGCGCCCGCCAGUAUUCUGGCGGGCGUGCCUGUUCGAGAGUCAUUUCAACCAUCAAGCCCCCGGGCCUGUGUUGGGGACCUGCGGCCGCCGCAGGCCCCGAAAAGCAGUGGCGGGCUCGCUGUCACCCCGAGCGUAGUAGUAAUCACCUCGCUUAGGGCGUGCUGUGGGCGCCGGCCGUUCAAACCCAAUAUCCCCCCCAAAGGUUGACCUCGGAUCAGGUAGGAAUACCCGCUGAGUUUAA